GCCUGUGUGGCUCAGUCAGUUGAGCAUCUGACUUUGGCUUAGGUCAUGAUCUCGCAGUUCGUGGGUUCGAGCCCUGCAUCAGGCU
RNAcentral lists this transfer RNA (85 nucleotides) under Felis catus (domestic cat). It matches the Rfam family "tRNA". Rfam says of the family: Transfer RNA (tRNA) molecules are approximately 80 nucleotides in length. RNAcentral also lists the same sequence under 5 other names. The record is from Rfam by way of RNAcentral. Lineage: Eukaryota; Metazoa; Chordata; Mammalia; Carnivora; Felidae.